Long non-coding RNA from Lolium perenne, 677 nucleotides. RefSeq lists it as uncharacterized. The record is from RefSeq and is a predicted model, not a curated record. Lineage: Eukaryota; Viridiplantae; Streptophyta; Magnoliopsida; Poales; Poaceae.
CUCUUUUUUCCCCCACAGGCAGAGUUGACCGUUCCAUUUUUUUCUGUCUACCACCGCUCUCGAAUGGAGGUUGUCUCCGCUCUCAUCUAGUCUAGUGUAGAAAGUAAAAUUUCUCUUCGCUUCCAGGAAUUCACCGAAGUUAGAUCGCGAACUCUCCCCCUCGAGUACAAAUGGAGCUUCAAUUGGAGAAAUGGGAACUGCAGUUCGAUUUGGAGGAUCAUGUCGGCCGGCCGGCCGAAAGAUUGUGAGCCGCUGAGGACCAUUCGAUCGGACCCGGAGCUCGAGUUUUGCGGCGAUUAUUGGGGCUAAUAGCCGGCGGUCUGCCGAUCGUGUACCUACAGAAGAUAGAGGGACUGGUGCCUGGUGUUGUUGCGCAUCGGCAAGGACUCUGCCAAGAAUUGGAAGGACAAAAGAUAAGUGUUAGAAUUGAACCUGCCAAUAUGAUGAUACAACUACUUCACUGCGGGCCAGUCUUAUACCCCUGAGAGGUAUGAAAAUUUCGAUAUGCGAUAAUCAUAGAACACACGGGGAAAGUUGGCUCGGCCGCUAGAAUCAUGAGUACCACAGAUGUCGUCGCGGCCAUCUAGGUCAUCCGAUUUUUGAAUUAACACUCUUGGCUGACAUGUCAUUGCUCUUGUUUGCAGGGAUAAUCAUAGAACACACCGGGAAAGUUGGCU